RNAcentral lists this ribosomal RNA (432 nucleotides) under uncultured bacterium. Its description in RNAcentral is "bacterial SSU rRNA". It matches the Rfam family "Bacterial small subunit ribosomal RNA", at positions 340 to 786 of the family's 1533-position model. The record is from RNAcentral.
UACGGAAGGCAGCAGUGGGGAAUAUUGGACAAUGGGCGAAAGCCUGAUCCAGCCAUGCCGCAUGAGUGAAGAAGGCCUUCGGGUUGUAAAGCUCUUUUAGUGAGAAAGAUAAUGACGGUACUCACAGAAGAAGUCCUGGCUAACUCCGUGCCAGCAGCCGCGUUAAUACGGAGAGGGCUAGCGUUAUUCGGAAUUAUUGGGCGUAAAGAGCGCGUAGGCUGAUUAGUAAGUUAAAAGUGAAAUCCCAAAGCUUAACUUUGGAAUUGCUUUUUAAAACUGCUAGUCUAGAGAUUGAAAGAGGAUAGAGGAAUUCCUAGUGUAGAGGUGAAAUUCGUAAAUAUUAGGAGGAACACCAGUGGCGAAGGCGUCUAUCUGGUUCAAAUCUGACGCUGAGGCGCGAAGGGCGUGGGGAGCAAACAGGGAUUAGAUACC